CCUACGGGAGGCAGCAGUGAGGAAUAUUGGUCAAUGGACGAGAGUCUGAACCAGCCAAGUAGCGUGAAGGAUGACUGCCCUAUGGGUUGUAAACUUCUUUUAUAUGGGAAUAAAAUGUUCCACGUGUGGGAUUUUGUAUGUAACAUAUGAAUAAGGAUCGGCUAACUCCGUGCCAGCAGCCGCGGUAAUACGGAGGAUCCGAGCUGUAUCUGGAUUUAUUGGGUUUAAAGGGAGAGUAGGUGGAUUGUUAAGUCAGUUGUGAAAGUUUGCGGCUCAACCGUAAAAUUGCAGUUGAAACUGGCAGUCUUGAGUACAGUAGAGGUGGGCGGAAUUCGUGGUGUAGCGGUGAAAUGCUUAGAUAUCACGAAGAACUCCGAUUGCGAAGGCAGUUCACUGGACUGCAACUGACACUGAGGCUCGAAAGUGUGGGUAUCAAACAGGAUUAGAUACCCUUGUAGUC
RNAcentral lists this ribosomal RNA (460 nucleotides) under uncultured bacterium. RNAcentral's name for it is "partial 16S ribosomal RNA". It matches the Rfam family "Bacterial small subunit ribosomal RNA", at positions 338 to 795 of the family's 1533-position model. The record is from RNAcentral.